RNAcentral lists this ribosomal RNA (324 nucleotides) under uncultured Bacteroidota bacterium. RNAcentral's name for it is "bacterial SSU rRNA". It matches the Rfam family "Bacterial small subunit ribosomal RNA", at positions 28 to 351 of the family's 1533-position model. The record is from RNAcentral. Lineage: Bacteria; Pseudomonadati; Bacteroidota.
GAUGAACGCUAGCGGCAGGCUUAAUACAUGCAAGUCGAACGGUAAGGUCCCGCUUGCGGGAUACACGAGUGGCGCACGGGUGCGUAACGCGUAUGCAACCUACCUUUAACUGGGAAAUAGCCCCGAGAAAUCGGGAUUAAUGUCCCAUACUAUUCUGAGAAUGCAUAUUCUUAGAAUGAAAGCUCCGGCGGUUAUUGAUGGGCAUGCGUGACAUUAGCUAGUUGGUGAGGUAACGGCUCACCAAGGCUACGAUGUCUAGGGGUCCUGAGAGGGUUAACCCCCACACUGGUACUGAGACACGGACCAGACUCCUACGGGAGGCUG